Molecule: long non-coding RNA, 414 nt
Filed under: Salmo salar (Atlantic salmon)
Lineage: Eukaryota; Metazoa; Chordata; Actinopteri; Salmoniformes; Salmonidae
Description: lncRNA (ENSSSAG00000096006.1)
Source: RNAcentral
AUAAAUCAUUAGGGCCUUUUUUAACCAGAACAUGAAUAAUAUUCAAGGUGGACGAAUGCAUACUCUUUUAUAACGUAUUGGAACGAGGGUACCCAACAUGAACUCGCGCGCCAGGUGUCUAAUGGGACAUCAUCUUUCCAUGGCUCUUGUUCGGUCAGAUCUCCCUCCAGAAGACUCAAAACACUUUGUAAAGGCUGGUGACAUCUAGUGGAAGCAAUAGGAAGUGCCAAAAUAUUCCUAAACCCCUGUGUUUUUCAAUGGGAUAGGUUUAAAGUCAAUACAACACAUCAGGUAUCCACUUCCUGUCAGAAAAUGUCUCAGGGUUUUGCCUGCCAAAUGAGUUCUGUUAUACUCACAGACACCAUUCAAACAGUUUUGGAAACUUUAGAGUGUUUUCUAUCCAUAUAUAAUAAG